GAUGAACGCUGGCGGCGUGCUUAACACAUGCAAGUCGAACGAAGCACUUUUACAGAUUUCUUCGGAAUGAAGUUUUAGUGACUGAGUGGCGGACGGGUGAGUAACGCGUGGGUAACCUGCCUCACACGGGGGGAUAACAGUUGGAAACGACUGCUAAUACCGCAUAAGCGCACAGUACCGCAUGGUACGGUGUGAAAAACUCCGGUGGUGUGAGAUGGACCCGCGUCUGAUUAGCUAGUUGGCAGGGCAACGGCCUACCAAGGCGACGAUCAGUAGCCGACCUGAGAGGGUGACCGGCCACAUUGGGACUGAGACACGGCCCAAACUCCUACGGGAGGCAGCAGUGGGGAAUAUUGCACAAUGGGGGAAACCCUGAUGCAGCGACGCCGCGUGAGCGAAGAAGUAUUUCGGUAUGUAAAGCUCUAUCAGCAGGGAAGAAGAAAUGACGGUACCUGACUAAGAAGCAUCGGCUAAAUACGUGCCAGCAGCCGCCGCGG
Molecule: ribosomal RNA, 497 nt
Filed under: uncultured bacterium
Lineage: Bacteria
Description: partial 16S ribosomal RNA
Rfam family: Bacterial small subunit ribosomal RNA
Source: RNAcentral